Molecule: long non-coding RNA, 620 nt
Organism: Gadus macrocephalus (Pacific cod)
Lineage: Eukaryota; Metazoa; Chordata; Actinopteri; Gadiformes; Gadidae
Exons: 2
Source: RefSeq, a predicted model, not a curated record
CGGCUUAGACGUGCAACAGCAUAGUAACUAAGACAAUAAAGGUUGUGGAAAAAAAAAAUAUCUUGCACAGGACUUUAUAUACUUCAUAUACCCCUGUGGCUGCCUGGGGUUGAGCCCCCCCAAAAGUCAGAACCUAGACUCGCCCCUGGUUGCCAUUAUUGACUCUAGAUCCCUAGAACGUUUUCCAUAUGCAUGGGCUCUUUAUGGUCUUACUGCAACCUUAUGUUUUGAAAAAUAUGUCUCUACUUAUUUCUAAGAAAUUUCUUUUAAGCAAAAAUGUCAAUAUAAUUUUUUUUUUAGCAACAUUUUCAGUAGCGUCGCCAUUAUUGACUCUAGAGCCCCAAAACUUGUUCAAUAGAGGCAUGGCCUAUUUAUGCUCCUACUACAACCUUUGUGAUGGGGAGAGGGCAGGGAGUGGGAAGAUGCAUUGGUUUGAGGCACAGACCUUUUUGAUUGUUGUAGUAUUUGGGUUAUGGGAUUUUAAUGUAUAGGGUGGUUGUUGAUAUAAAUAUUUUUUGUUAAAUAAAUGUAAAUAAUGUUUUUAAAGAUUAUACUUACACAUAGAAACCUCCCGGCAGGGUGUGCUUUGCGAGCAAAUAAAAAAAAUUGCGUGCGAAAAA